This 375-nucleotide ribosomal RNA is filed under the name uncultured organism. RNAcentral's name for it is "bacterial SSU rRNA". It matches the Rfam family "Archaeal small subunit ribosomal RNA", at positions 476 to 851 of the family's 1478-position model. The record is from RNAcentral.
CCAGCACCCCGAGUGGUCGGGACGAUUAUUGGGCCUAAAGCAUCCGUAGCCGGUUUUACAAGUCCUCCGUUAAAUCCAACUGCUUAACAGAUGGGCCGCGGAGGAUACUAUAAGACUAGGAGGCAGGAGAGGCAAGCGGUACUCAGUGGGUAGGGGUAAAAUCCGUUGAUCCAUUGAAGACCACCAGUGGCGAAGGCGGCUUGCCAGAAUGCGCUCGGCGGUGAGGGAUGAAAGCUGGGGGAGCAAACCGGAUUAGAUACCCGGGUAGUCCCAGCUGUAAACGAUGCAGACUCGGUGAUGGACCAGCUUCAUGCUAGUCCAGUGCCGCAGGGAAGCCGUUAAGUCUGCCGCCUGGGUAGUACGGUCGCAAGACUG